UACACUCCUACGGGAGGCAGCAGUGGGGAAUUUUGGACAAUGGGCGAAAGCCUGAUCCAGCAAUGCCGCGUGAGUGAAGAAGGCCUUCGGGUUGUAAAGCUCUUUUGUCAGGGAAGAAACGGUGAAAGCUAAUAUCUUUUGCUAAUGACGGUACCUGAAGAAUAAGCACCGGCUAACUACGUGCCAGCAGCCGCGGUAAUACGUAGGGUGCAAGCGUUAAUCGGAAUUACUGGGCGUAAAGCGUGCGCAGGCGGUUUUGUAAGUCUGAUGUGAAAUCCCCGGGCUCAACCUGGGAAUUGCAUUGGAGACUGCAAGGCUAGAAUCUGGCAGAGGGGGGUAGAAUUCCACGUGUAGCAGUGAAAUGCGUAGAUAUGUGGAGGAACACCGAUGGCGAAGGCAGCCCCCUGGGUCAAGAUUGACGCUCAUGCACGAAAGCGUGGGGAGCAAACAGGAUUAGAUACCCCAGUAGUCCCAU
This 475-nucleotide ribosomal RNA is filed under the name uncultured organism. RNAcentral describes it as "partial 16S ribosomal RNA". It matches the Rfam family "Bacterial small subunit ribosomal RNA", at positions 332 to 798 of the family's 1533-position model. The record is from RNAcentral.